UACGGGGGGGGUAAGCGUUGUUCGGAAUUACUGGGCGUAAAGGGCUCGUAGGCGGCCAACUAAGUCAGACGUGAAGUUCCUCAGCUUAACUGGGGAACUGCGUCUGAUACUGGAUGGCUUGGAUUCGGGAGAGGAAUGCGGAAUUCCAGGUGUAGCGGUGAAAUGCGUAGAUAUCUGGAGGAACACCGGUGGCGAAGGCGGCAUUCUGGACCGAUAUUGACGCUGAGGAGCGAAAGCCAGGGGAGCAAACGGG
Molecule: ribosomal RNA, 253 nt
Filed under: uncultured bacterium
Lineage: Bacteria
Description: partial 16S ribosomal RNA
Rfam family: Bacterial small subunit ribosomal RNA
Source: RNAcentral